UACGGAGGGUGCGAGCGUUGUCCGGAAUCACUGGGCGUAAAGGGCGCGUAGGCGGUCUGCUAAGCGUGUGGUGAAAGCUCGGGGCUCAACCCCGAGUCUGCCAUGCGAACUGGUGGACUAGAGCACUGUAGAGGCAGGUGGAAUUCCGGGUGUAGCGGUGGAAUGCGUAGAGAUCCGGAAGAACACCGGUGGCGAAGGCGGCCUGCUGGGCAGUAGCUGACGCUGAGGCGCGACAGCGUGGGGAGCAAACAGG
Molecule: ribosomal RNA, 253 nt
Filed under: uncultured bacterium
Lineage: Bacteria
Description: partial 16S ribosomal RNA
Rfam family: Bacterial small subunit ribosomal RNA
Source: RNAcentral